GGAGAAGAAGUAACAGAAUGUAGAAUAUAGUGUUAUAGAGAAAGUGCUGCUUUAGUACAGCAGUGGGGGCUUUUGGAGAUUUUAUGGUUAAAAUGAUAUGAUACCAUCAGACUAAUUAUGUUAGACAUUAGCAGUCAAGAACUGCCAGCGUGGAAAGCUCAUUAAAGCACAAUGGGAAAGAACUCUGGUUCCGUCUGUCACUGGUUCCUUCCAGCUAGUGUGGAGAAUAAUCAAUUUUCUCACUACUCUACAAAUCCAGAUGCAGCUUAAAAUCCCUUACGGAGCAAAAAGGUGUGCAACAUUUACUGAUGCAGGAUUGGUGGACAUCCAGUUAGCAAGUGCAUUCAUGAAGCAUAACAACAAGCAAGGAAUGCUUUUCUGAGAAAUAUGCUACUGAAUUUUCCGCCUUCCACCCAGCAGCUCUGUGGUCAGGAAAGAUCUAUACGAUGCUCUUGAAAACAAACCUUUUAAGUUGAAUAAUGUUCAAUAAAACAUGGAGCUCUUCCUCACUGCACUGGAUGACAGAUAUGCCCACACAAUGAGAUUUACAGGAAGGUGGUUCCUGCUCGGCUUUGCUGCCUGCCACACUUCCUACAGUGCCCUUAGGUCAGCUGCAGGGUCAUCAGCCAGAGACCAUCAUUCAUCGAUGUUUCGCUGCCUUAGCGCUGGUACAUCUCCUGAUGCUGACUAGUCUGUGCAGCAUUUUCUGUUUGAAGAAAACAUUAAGCUGGAUCCCACUGUUUGAAGAAAACGAGCUAUACAAAUCUUGGCAUUUCACAAAUAUACAAUUUGCAAACAACAUUCAGAGCUUCAAAAGAAUCGAUUUGUUUUUGAAUAUGUGUGCCAACAAUGAAAACAAUGUUUGUUUCAUAAUUUACUGCUGUUACAAACUGCCUGAUUUAUUUGCCCUUUUAGUGAGUAAGGUUGUACAUAGGCAAACAAGAAUGAUAGGCUAUUUACUGCUUCUCCUCUUAGAGUCAUAGAACACUGCAGUGCAUAAAAAGACCCUUUGGCCCAUCUAGUCUGUGCUAAACUAUCAAUCUGCUUAGUCCCAUCAAGCUGCACCUGGACCAUAACCCUCCAUUCUCCUCCCAUUACUGCACCUAUCCAAAUUUCUUUUAAAUUUUGAGAUCAAACCCCCCAUCCACCACUUCCACUGGCAGCUCAUUCCAGUCUCUUUCAGUUAAUCAGCAUUGAUCAGUGGGAGUACAGCAAGACAGCAUCCAAAAUAUUUGGGGUUGGAGCAUCUGAUUGCAUGUUACAGAAUCAGGUUCAUUAUCACUAUCUUGUGGUACAGUGCAAAUGUCUAGGGCACAAAUCUAUAGAUAGGGUAUCUGAGACUUUUGCACGGUACUGUAGUAAUUUUAUGUAUUAAACUGUACUACUACUGCAAAAAGAAAAAAAUUUUGUGAUGUGAGUGAUGAUAAACCUGAUUUUGAUUAAGAUCUCUAUUGUAACUGUAAGUGGAAAGGAGGCAGGGAGAGGGGGAUCAUGGUUGAGAAAAGGGGAAGGGAGAGAGGAGGGAGCGAGAAGGACCAGAGAGACAUUCUGUACUGAUCAAUAAACCAAUUGUUUACAAUCAAAUAACCUUGCCUGGUGCCAGAACCAGGUGUGUCUGCACCCACACUACCCGCCCCUAGCACUCUUUCUCUGCCACCUAUCACACAACCCUCCCCUGGGGCUCCAUCGUCACCAUUCCUAACAUCCUUUGCUCCUGCCAGAUUUAAAACUUGCUCUCCACUUCGCAUUGAUACAUACAGUAUCGUGCAAAAGUCUUAGGCAUCCUAGCUAUAUAUAUGCACUUAAGGUGUUUGCACAAUACUGCAUAUAACAAGAAAUCUGUUGUUUUGCAGCAGUAGUUGAGUGAAAAUACAUAACAAUUUCUAAAUAUUAGGAAGUAGUACAAAGAAGCCCAUAGAGUUAAUCCAUAAUUUUGCAGAAGAAUAAAAAAAACAAAUCUGCAAUAUGGAAAGUUGUUGCAUAACUCUUACGUUUUUGACAGUUUCUAUAUCACCGCUAAAUUUGUGGUUUCUGUUGUUUAACUUGCUAACACAAAUUAUGUAGGUUAUGAAAACUGGACCGAAUGAAAGUGUUUGUUACACUUGGAAAGACUUUAUUCACUCAUAAAGCGUAGUCGUCCAGAUGAUUUGGAUUUACUCUGGAAUUGGAAAAACAUCAGAUUCAAUUUAUUUUGACUGUCUUACAUAACAUGAGAUUUGUUGUUUUGCUGCAGAAGUUCAGUGAAAAGACAUAAAAAUACUAUAAAUUACAAAAUAAGUAAACCAAUAAAUCAAAUUAAAAGGAAUAAUGAAGUAUUCUUCAUGGGGUCGUGGACCAUUCAAAAAUCUAAUGGUGGAGAGGAAGAAGCUGUCCUGAAUAAUUGAGUUUGAGUCGUUGGUCUCCUGUACCUCCUCUUUGAAUGUAGAAAAUGGUAGGACAUGCCCUAGAUGGUGAAGACCCUCAAUGACGGAUGCUGCACUUUUGAGGCACUGCCUCUUGAAGAUGGUUUUGCUGAUGGGAAGCUCUGCAACACUCUGCAGCCUUUUGCAAUCAUGUGCAAUGAAAUUACCACAUCAGAUUGUGUUGCAACCAGUCAGAAAGCUCUCCACCUGUAGAAAUUUACGGGAGUCUGCUACGUUUUGUGGCUUCAAAAUAUUAAACUAAUUGAAAGGAAGUCACGGGAGUCCAAAAUGCAGGUCCAACUUCGAGUUUAUUUUACACGAGGUGCACACGUGGUAUUAUGAUGACUUACGCAACUGACGAAUCUUUACAUAUAACCUUUAAUUACUUAUUUAAAUGAGCAAGAAUGUUUAAUCAACCAAUAUAGACACAAGAUUACUCAAAUAUUACAUAAAUAUUACAUACGCAACAUCCUUAGCAACUUACCAAACCGCCUCAAGAUCUUAACAAAGCAGAGCUGUUGGCAUACCUUCUUCAUUAUUGAAUUUAUGUGUUGAGCCCAGGACAGAUCCUCUGAAAUGUUGACGUCAAGGAACUUAGAGCUGUUCAACCUUUCUUUCCACUGCUGACACCUCAAUGAGGACUGGGUGUCUUCGUAAGUCCUCAGUCAAUUCCUCCUUCCUGUUGAUGCUGUGUGCGAGGUUGUUGUUGCACAACAGUCAACCAGUUGAUCUAUCUUGAUCUUGUACGCCUUCUUUUCACCAUCUGAGAUUUUACCAACAACAGUGGUGUCAUCUGCUAACUUAUAAAUGGUGAUUGAGCUAUAUUUGGCUACACAGUCUUGAGUGUAGAGGGUAGAGGAACAAUUUAAUGAAACUUAGCUUGACCUUUUAUGUUCUCUUUCUGACAAAGAUUGUAUGCAUUUUAUAAUAAAAAUGAAUGUUA
Molecule: long non-coding RNA, 3345 nt
Organism: Hypanus sabinus (Atlantic stingray)
Lineage: Eukaryota; Metazoa; Chordata; Chondrichthyes; Myliobatiformes; Dasyatidae
Exons: 4
Source: RefSeq, a predicted model, not a curated record